UGGGUGCGGUGGCGCGUGCCUGUAGUCCCAGCUAUUCAGGAGGCUGAGGCUGGAGGAUCUCUUGAGUCCAGGAGUUCUGGGCUGUAUUGCGCUAUGUUGAUCAGGUGUCUGCACUAAGUUCGGCAUCAAUAUGGUGACCUCCCGGGAGCGGGGGACCACCAGGUUGCCUAAAGAGGGGUGAACCGGCCCAGGUCAGAAAUGGAGCAGGUCAAAACUCCCAUGCUGAUCAGUAGUGGGAUCGCGCCUGUGAAUAGCCAUUGCACUCCAACCUGGGCAACAUAGGGAGACCCCGUCUCUU
Callithrix jacchus (white-tufted-ear marmoset) is the source of this 298-nucleotide unclassified non-coding RNA. It matches the Rfam family "Metazoan signal recognition particle RNA". From Rfam's summary of the family: The signal recognition particle (SRP) is a universally conserved ribonucleoprotein. It is involved in the co-translational targeting of proteins to membranes. The eukaryotic SRP consists of a 300-nucleotide 7S RNA and six proteins: SRPs 72, 68, 54, 19, 14, and 9. Lineage: Eukaryota; Metazoa; Chordata; Mammalia; Primates; Cebidae. The record is from Ensembl.